Molecule: ribosomal RNA, 253 nt
Filed under: uncultured bacterium
Lineage: Bacteria
Description: partial 16S ribosomal RNA
Rfam family: Bacterial small subunit ribosomal RNA
Source: RNAcentral
UACGUAGGGACCGAGCGUUGUCCGGAAUCAUUGGGCGUAAAGCGUGCGCAGGCGGUUCUCCAAGUCCGUUGUGAAAGCCCCGGGCUCAACCUGGGAAUGGCAGUGGAAACUAGGGGACUGGAAUCUGGCAGAGGGGGGUGGAAUGCCGCGUGUAGCAGUGAAAUGCGUAGAGAUGCGGCGGAACACCGAUGGCGAAGGCAGCCCCCUGGGCUGAGAUUGACGCUCAGGCACGAAAGCGUGGGGAGCAAACAGG